GACGAACGCUGGCGGCGUGCUUAACACAUGCAAGUCGAACGGAAAGGCCCUGCUUUUGUGGGGUGCUCGAGUGGCGAACGGGUGAGUAACACGUGAGUAACCUGCCCUUGACUUUGGGAUAACUUCAGGAAACUGGGGCUAAUACCGGAUAGGAGCUCCUGCUGCAUGGUGGGGGUUGGAAAGUUUCGGCGGUUGGGGAUGGACUCGCGGCUUAUCAGCUUGUUGGUGGGGUAGUGGCUUACCAAGGCUUUGACGGGUAGCCGGCCUGAGAGGGUGACCGGCCACAUUGGGACUGCGAGACGGACCAGACUCCUACGGGAGGCAGCAGUGGGGAAUAUUGCACAAUGGGCGGAAGCCUGAUGCAGCAGCGCCGCGUGCGGGAUGACGGCCUUCGGGUUGUAAACCGCUUUCGCCUGUGACGAAGCGUGAGUGACGGUAAUGGGUAAAGAAGCACCGGCUAACUACGUG
RNAcentral lists this ribosomal RNA (468 nucleotides) under uncultured bacterium. Its description in RNAcentral is "partial 16S ribosomal RNA". It matches the Rfam family "Bacterial small subunit ribosomal RNA", at positions 28 to 507 of the family's 1533-position model. The record is from RNAcentral.